GCUUAGAGUUUGAUCCUGGCUCAGAUUGAACGCUGGCGGCAUGCUUUACACAUGCAAGUCGAACGGUAACAGGUCUUCGGAUGCUGACGAGUGGCGAACGGGUGAGUAAUACAUCGGAACGUGCCUAGUAGUGGGGGAUAACUACUCGAAAGAGUAGCUAAUACCGCAUGAGAUCUACGGAUGAAAGCAGGGGACCUUCGGGCCUUGUGCUACUAGAGCGGCUGAUGGCAGAUUAGGUAGUUGGUGGGGUAAAGGCUUACCAAGCCUGCGAUCUGUAGCUGGUCUGAGAGGACGACCAGCCACACUGGGACUGAGACACGGCCCAGACUCCUACGGGAGGCAGCAGUGGGGAAUUUUGGACAAUGGGCGAAAGCCUGAUCCAGCAAUGCCGCGUGCAGGAUGAAGGCCCUCGGGUUGUAAACUGCUUUUGUACGGAACGAAAAGCCUGGGGCUAAUAUCCCCGGGUCAUGACGGUACCGUAAGAAUAAGCACCGGCUAACUACGUGCCAGCAGCCGCGGUAAUACGUAGGGUGCAAGCGUUAAUCGGAAUUACUGGGCGUAAAGCGUGCGCAGGCGGUUUUGUAAGACAGUGGUGAAAUCCCCGGGCUCAACCUGGGAACUGCCAUUGUGACUGCAAGGCUAGAGUGCGGCAGAGGGGGAUGGAAUUCCGCGUGUAGCAGUGAAAUGCGUAGAUAUGCGGAGGAACACCGAUGGCGAAGGCAAUCCCCUGGGCCUGCACUGACGCUCAUGCACGAAAGCGUGGGGAGCAAACAGGAUUAGAUACCCUGGUAGUCCACGCCCUAAACGAUGUCAACUGGUUGUUGGGUCUUUACUGACUCAGUAACGAAGCUAACGCGUGAAGUUGACCGCCUGGGGAGU
This 879-nucleotide ribosomal RNA is filed under the name uncultured bacterium. RNAcentral describes it as "bacterial SSU rRNA". It matches the Rfam family "Bacterial small subunit ribosomal RNA", at positions 1 to 881 of the family's 1533-position model. The record is from RNAcentral.